RNAcentral lists this ribosomal RNA (487 nucleotides) under uncultured Megasphaera sp. Its description in RNAcentral is "bacterial SSU rRNA". It matches the Rfam family "Bacterial small subunit ribosomal RNA", at positions 70 to 525 of the family's 1533-position model. The record is from RNAcentral. Lineage: Bacteria; Bacillati; Bacillota; Negativicutes; Veillonellales; Veillonellaceae.
CAUGGGAAGCUUGCUUCCUAUGAAAUCGAGUGGGCAAACGGGUGAGUAAACGCGUAAACAAACCUGCCCUUCGGAUGGGGAUAACAGCCGGAAACGGCUGCUAAUACCGAAUACGAUCUUUUCGUCGCAUGACGGAAAGAAGAAAAAGGAUGGCCUCUAUACAAAGCUAUCGCCGAAGGAGGGGUUUGCGUCUGAUUAGCUGGUUGGAGGGUAACGGCCCAACAAGGCGAUGAUCAGUAGCCGGUCUGAGAGGACGAACGGCCACAUUGGGACUGAGACACGGCCCAGACUCCUACGGGAGGCAGCAGUGGGGAAUCUUCCGCAAUGGACGAAAGUCUGACGGAGCAACGCCGCGUGAGUGAAGAAGGUCUUCGGAUUGUAAAGCUCUGUUAUACGGGACGAAAAAGACGGAUGCCAACAGUAUCCGUCCGUGACGGUACCGUAAGAGAAAGCCACGGCUAACUACGUGCCAGCAGCCGCGGUAAAU